Molecule: long non-coding RNA, 179 nt
Organism: Alexandromys fortis (reed vole)
Lineage: Eukaryota; Metazoa; Chordata; Mammalia; Rodentia; Cricetidae
Exons: 3
Source: RefSeq, a predicted model, not a curated record
UUUGAAGCCUCUCUUCAUAGGCGUGGACUUUUCAGAGGGCUUAAGAUGGGCCCACCUCUGGAGUGUGCUACUCCUUCAGCGGGAUCCGUUUCCUGAAAUUUCCACGGCCUCACUGAACAGCACCGCCAUUUGAAGGAUUGUAGUAGAAAUUGCCUCUAAGUCGCUGCUCAAUCCUGAAC